RNAcentral lists this ribosomal RNA (4355 nucleotides) under Triticum aestivum (bread wheat). Its description in RNAcentral is "partial small subunit ribosomal RNA". Lineage: Eukaryota; Viridiplantae; Streptophyta; Magnoliopsida; Poales; Poaceae. The record is from RNAcentral.
UUUUCCUGCAUUUACAUUUUUAUGUGCUUUCAUUGGUCAUGUUCUGUGUGUUUUGGGCUGACCCAAUGCAUUUCAGUUAAUCUAUAUGUACCGUUGUUUGUUAUUUUAUAUACUUUCAUGCAUUUUCUAUGCCUGAUCUGUUUCCUAUGUUCUUUCCAUUUGUGUUGCAGAUCAUGUCACUCUUCCACUGUCUUGUUGGUUCAUGUACUGUUGUUCGUUGCCAAAGUUUGUGCUUCCUCUUUUCAGUUCUAUUUUCUUUGGAUUCUGAGAUGCAUAAUGAUUGAAUGUGUUUAAGUUUGUCCGUUUCUGCCAUGUGUUUUGGGUGACUAUGUACAGUUUAUCUAUUCUAUCUGGUGCAUCUUGUGCUAAACUUCUCGCUGGAUGUGCUCUAAUUGGCUAUCGCAUGUGUGCUCUAGCCUAAGCCAUUGCAUUUGAAGUUGUCACUUUCUGAAUUUUUCAUGUUCCUGCUUGCAUGCGCUGCGAUUGGUUAUAUGCAAGGAAGAAUGGUGUCCUGUUCUUUUUAUUUUUAUUUUUUCAGCCUCCACGUUCCCAAUAUUAAUUAGUCACUUGGUAGAAUUCUUAAUCUGUGUAUUUUCCAUGCCUGAGUUGUUCUUGCUUUGUUAUUUUCUUUUGUAUUACAGGUCUUGUUGUUGUGGCACUCUCUUGUCAUCACACGCGCUGCUGUUUUUGACUGCCAAGAUUUGUGCUGUAUAUAUUAUAGUUCAAAAGCUUUUCGUUAUGCUUCCUAUCUCGAAAAUAAGAAUAGCUCCAUGGGUGAGAAAGGGUGCUCCAGAAGGGCCAGAAAUUUGGCCAUUGUAAAUUUGGACCAACACACAUGAAUUUCAUCACCCAGAAGGGCCAGGACUUGGUGUUUUUUCAGAGACACCAAGCAUGUAUCCACCAGCGCAACAAUUGCAUGUCUCUUCCAGUUGGCAAUUGGGAAGGCUUUCUGUUCUACCAGGAUCAUUUUUCUCAGGCUCUUAUCCUCCAAAUUAUGCACCCAUCUAUAGUCAUGCCGAUGUAGUAAUGGAACCCUUACAUGGUAAGUUUCUAAUAUUGUAUUCCUUCUCAUUUUAAACGUUGUGCUACAAAUAGUAGGCCAUCGAACAAGGGUGUUUUAUAUUAAUCUAGACCAAAGUAUAAAAAAAUAAAUUUGUAGGGUCUGUUAUUAAUGAUACAACCUUUACUGUCUAAUUUCAGGAACUCACAAUGUAUGAGGAGCAUUGUGUUGUAAAACAAGAUUACAAAAAUGACCCAAAACAUGACUUUGUUCUUUUGUGCUAUGAAGAUUGUGAUGCAUUGUCAGAAAAAUAAAACCUGCUCUGAUGACUUCAUUCUCCUUUAUUUUCUUAGUCACCUAUGAACCAAGUUGUGUCAACUAGGGCACAACAAACUGUUCUUUUUUUAGAAGAGACAACAAACUGUUCAGGCAGGACCAUUUGGCGUAUCACACCGAGGGCCUCCAUCCGUAGUUGCUUAUGGUAGUAAUUAUGCAUCGUUGUCUUCUUCAACAUGGCCUUCAAGUGGCAAACAAGAAAUUGCCUGAUUUCUCAUGUUUUAAUUUAAGCUUUGUAGCCACUUUGAAGCUUGCUUGCUACAUAUUUGACAGUACCUACAUUAGAACCAAAUAUGUCUUAGUACAUCCAUUAGAACCAAAUAUGUUUUAGUUAAGUGAUGUUCCUGAGGCCUUGCUCAUACAUAUUCAUGUUUUAUUAUCAAUCUCUAAACUACUCUUGCAUGGUUUGAAUGCCUGGUUUUCUCUUGGUUUUUGCGUCAGGGGCGCAAAGGGUCAUACUCUGUCGCAUAUAAGAUAUGUUGCAGAUCACCUUAAUGAUGCAACUUAUAAUUAGAGAACAUUCUACAGGAACCAAACAAGUAUUAUUAGGGGUUGGAUGAUGGUAUGGAAGGCAUUUUUAUUUUUGGCAAUGGCAACCCACCAGACACACCCACCAUGAAGAGCUACUUAGAUGAUGAAGUCAUAUUCGAUACCGAUGGCAUCUGCAACGAUGACUACGUGAUAUUCAUCACUACUCACCACGAGCUAAAUGAUCGAAGCUGUCUAUAUGCAUAACCUAUGUGUAGCUUUCUUGAUAAACGUAGUAUAAAUAAGCUAUCGUAAUCUAAUCCCAUGCCUUUCUCAUAAUGCUAUAUAUCAAUUUCAUACGAAAAUAUCUAUUCUCUUAUGAUCCAAUCGGCAUCUAAAUAUUCUUACGUGCGUGGUUUGAAUGCUUGGUUUGUACAAUAUUUGUCCCCUUAUUUCCCUGAUCUUUUUAGUUUUAGUUUCUGUUGCCGCAGACAAGCAAUUCAAAUGCAGAGCUACAUCAAAGAUCCGCGUCAAAUAAUUAGGCCAAUAUAAAUAACAAAAUUUGGGCGUAGUGUCGUAGUCGCCUCCAUCCUGUAGCAUCUUAGCUCUUUGUACAUUUUGAUUGUUCAUUUUACUGGCUCCUUCAUUUUCGUCUGCUAGCUCAAUGAUUUGUCAUUGUUAUAAUUGGUUCCUUUCUGUCACUGCUGGUCUUGAACACAUACUGGUGGCAUCCGAUGGGACAAAUUCGACUGGUCUCUAUCCGAGAGGAGAGAUCCGGGGGAAUGUGUGUUGAGGCUCUCAUCAUGUUGGUACAUGGUGAAUGUUCCAUCAAGUUGUGGAUGGCUCUAAGGCAUGUGACACCAAUGAUAGAUACUCCUGCCGUGUCAUGAAGCUCAUUAAGUGCUACAAAAAUAUUUCACAGGGGUAAUUGUUUCUGUUCUUCACCAAUCUACCGUGUCAGAUGUUGUUUUAUUAUUGUUUGUUCUUCGUAGGCAUAGCCUAUUAAUUAUUCACUUGUCCGUAGGUAUGUAUCAUGGCUCUAAGUCACGCACAUGAGAUUUGAGACUUUUUUGGGGGCUAAUGAUAAAUAUUGUUGGUGAUAAGGAGUGUAUGCUUAUGUGCUGUACUUUUCAUUAUCCAAUAUAUGGAUAAUAUUUAUCAUUGUCAAAAGAGUGCACCUCGGGAUAAUGGUUAUGAAAUAUUUUUCCUAUAUUAUUAUGUACUUCAACCUUUUCAUAUUUCAAAGUGGUUGUGAGAAUGGCUAUGAAAUUGAAGAGGCGGCCAGAGGAGGUAGUGAGGGAGCUGCUCCUUCAUCCUCCCCUCCAUACUGUCGGUAAUACAUUAUUUUCUCUCAUAGAUUUAAAGUGAUUUUUUCUGUUGUUGCAAAGCAUGGGUAUUUAAAAAGCUGCAACCCAGUAACUUUGAUUUUCAUAGUCUACUCUGCCUUCUGCGUCUACCUUGUUGUAUAAGAGACCAGUCAGCACUAUGUAUACCAACAAUAACCACACACAUGAAUUCUGAUUUGUGCACAAGGAAGCUCACAAAUUUGUGUCCAUCUUUUUCGUAGUAAUCAUAUUGCUUGCAUAUUUUAUUAGACUGAUCAUAGUCACGAUGAUCAGACAGAUAAUAUUUGGUAGAGAAGAUUAGAAGAAACAUUUAUAUCAUAUUUUUGUAUGUUUUUUCUGUAGAAAAGGUACCAUGGGUUGAUUGUGUUGGAUCCCAUUACUAUAUGAUGUAUUUGACUGCUAUUCCUAAGAACUGCUCCUGGACACAGUGCUCUAUGUUGACAUGUCUUACAUUUUAUUGUGUCGCCUAUCUGUAUAGUUAUUCGGAUCUUACAUUUUUGUAUUUUUGUCGAUGCAGGUGUGUUCUUCCUACUAUAAAGCAACAUGGAUUUCUUUAAAUUAAAUUGUGCAUAUUAUGGAAAAUAAAUCUUGUGUGUCUAUAGUCAUGUUCAUGUAUGUUCUGAACUGAGACAAAUAUUCUUCAUUGUCUAUGCUUUUUCCUUCUGUUAAUGAUGAUAGUGCAGCUCUCCAUGUUAUUAAUUCCUUACCCAUUCACUUGAAAUAUUGCCUAAAUAUUAUUAUUUUUGUAGUUGGUUCAGCAGCCUGACUUAGAUCUUCUACAUUGCCCAUAGAGAAUCUUCAAAAGUGUAGUCAUAUAGAGAAUCUUCAAAAGUGUAGUCAUAUAUGUCACUUGAUAAAUUCCAGGACAUUAAUCUAUACUGCUCCUAUGCGUUUCAGCUGUCACAAAUCCAUGGUGAAAUAAACAGGAGAAUACAUGCUUGCAGAAGUUGUCAAGAGGCUCCAUUUAACCAUCAAAGACCAUGAGACCUACGAAUCCAGUGAUAGAGAUGGACACAAUCUCUCCUUGUGGAAGGACAAUGUAUCAAUUGCCAACAAAACCAAACAUUUCAUCCUAUCUUACCAUGUAGUACUAACUUAACUGCAAUGUAUCACCUGUGUCAAAAACUAUUUGAAUCGCGUAUUUGGCUAUCUAUGAUAUCAAACCUUUGUGUUCUUUCAAUAUCAUAUACACUCGAAAGCAAGGC